GCUGGGCUUUAGCUCAGUGGUAGAGUGUUUGCCUAAUAUGCACAAGGCCCUGGUUUGAUCCCCAGCUCAGCA
RNAcentral lists this transfer RNA (72 nucleotides) under Marmota monax (woodchuck). Its description in RNAcentral is "tRNA.Ile". Lineage: Eukaryota; Metazoa; Chordata; Mammalia; Rodentia; Sciuridae. The record is from RNAcentral.